This 425-nucleotide ribosomal RNA is filed under the name uncultured bacterium. RNAcentral's name for it is "partial 16S ribosomal RNA". It matches the Rfam family "Bacterial small subunit ribosomal RNA", at positions 354 to 796 of the family's 1533-position model. The record is from RNAcentral.
GUGGGGAAUAUUGGACAAUGGGCGCAAGCCUGAUCCAGCCAUGCCGCGUGAGUGAUGAAGGCCUUAGGGUUGUAAAGCUCUUUCAGUGGGGACGAUAAUGACGGUACCCACAGAAGAAGCCCCGGCUAACUUCGUGCCAGCAGCCGCGGUAAUACGAAGGGGGCUAGCGUUGUUCGGAUUUACUGGGCGUAAAGCGCACGUAGGCGGAUCGUUAAGUCGGGGGUGAAAUCCUGGAGCUCCACUCCAGAACUGCCUUCGAUACUGGCGAUCUUGAGUACGGAAGAGGUGAGUGGAACUCCUAGUGUAGAGGUGGAAUUCGUAGAUAUUAGGAAGAACACCAGUGGCGAAGGCGGCUUACUGGUCCGGAACUGACGCUGAGGUGCGAAAGCGUGGGGAGCAAACAGGAUUAGAUACCCGAGUAGUCC